RNAcentral lists this ribosomal RNA (378 nucleotides) under uncultured eukaryote. Its description in RNAcentral is "partial 18S ribosomal RNA". It matches the Rfam family "Eukaryotic small subunit ribosomal RNA", at positions 592 to 976 of the family's 1831-position model. The record is from RNAcentral.
CAAUAGCGUAUAUUUAAGUUGUUGCAGUUAAAAAGCUCGUAGUUGGAUUUCGGGUGGGACGCAGCGGUCUCGCAUUGCGUUUGUACUGCUGCAGCCCUCCUUCUUGCCGGGGGCGGCCUCUCGGACUUCACUGUCUGGGGGUCAGAAUCGGCGAUGUUACUUUGAGUAAAUUAGAGUGUUCAAAGCAAGCUUACGCUCUGAAUAUAAUAGCAUGGGAUAACACGACAGGACUCUGGCCUAUCGUGUUGGUCUAUAGGACCAGAGUAAUGAUUAAGAGGGACAGUCGGGGGCAUUCGUAUUCCGUUGUCAGAGGUGAAAUUCUUGGAUUUACGGAAGACGAACAUCUGCGAAAGCAUUUGCCGAGGAUGUUUUCAUUGA